CGAGCGACUGCGUUAGGUCCGUCCACUCGCGGCCGUAAACCCUAAUCCAGUCCCGAUCGAGGCGCGGCGGAGCGACCACAUACUCCUUAUUCGGUUGCUUCCAAAAAAAAGUCCCGAUUGGAGGCGCAGCGGGAGCGACCGCAUCGAAUCCAUCCACUCCGGAUCCGAGGCGCAGAGAGGACCCAAUGCAUCCAGUCUGUCCCGAUUCAAGGUGCGGCGGACCGACCACGUCGAAUCCAUCCAGCCCGGAUUCAUCCACUCCGUGAAUCGCCGUCCGGCUGUUCGUCUCUUGAAACUGCUACCGUGGGUUUGAAGGAAGUAAUCACUCUUCAGUUUCUCUCCAACCAUUCAUGACGGAUGAUGUGCGCCCCUCGCGGUCCUUAAUGGAUGCCUGGCUCUUUGUUUCUCAUUCUUCCGCUGUGUAUAUAUGCUUCCUCUAGGCUAACUUUUCUAACUCCAGCGACAGAACAUCCAUCAGCAUGGUGCUCUUCUAGGUUCCCCUCUGUCUUUAUUUUUUAUCAUCCAUGUACGAUAUUUGCUUCUUCCACCCAACUUGUACAGGUAUUGUUCAAACUGGGAGAUGGUCGAUUGAUUCGGCCAGAUAUUGGAAACUGGUUCUCGCAUUUUUUUUCUGAAAUUCUUUAGGUGAUAGUUCUAAUGGCUUCUGGACAGGUAAUUACUUCACUUGGACUACCAGAUUUCAUUUUUCGAUUCAUGUUUUACCAUCCAUGUUUUUACAGCAUAGAAGAUUAAUUACUCAUAUAUCUGUUAUCCACACCAUGGUUCUUCUAUUUGUUGCUGUACGCAACAGGUUUAAGUGGAGCAGUGUAGUUAUAUGCGCAAAAGAAUGUAGCCAUACUGUUAUAGAGGGGGGUGAAGCCUCAGUAUCUUCUUCUAUGCUGAAGUGAGCAAAGCCCAAUAAUCUUACCGAUAUUUGAAAGUAUGUGUGUUGAUUUUCAAGACACGGUGCAGGCUUUGCAUCAUUCCAAGCAUAAGGCAAGAUACACUUGGUUCAGUCUGGGGUCAGUGAUGUCAGCAAAUCAUUGGAAGAGUUCAGGGAGGGGCUAUUUUAGUUACGACCUGAGGCACAACGAGCAGGAGGAGUUGGCCAACUGGAGUGCUAGAUUCAGGGCAAGUUUGCCUAAGCACUUUUAUUAGUUCCGUUGAUAAUACCAGGACUGGAGAACUGAAAGCCCUUGUAGAUGCUAGAGGAACAAGAUUGACAACGGCCUUUUGCAUUGCACUCUUGAUAAAGCUUCAAGCUCAAGGCCUUUGUGAAGUUUUCCAGGAAGAAGAUUGACUAUAGCAUCUUGGAGUGCACUAAUAUUAAUAAAUAAACCCUUCAAUUUUUUUUGUCGCCCAAAGGCUACAAGUUCUGUAAUUUACCCAAAUACUUAGCAUUUUCUCUACCCAAAUAAGAGUGUAAUGUUUCAGAUCAUAUAUUCCCAGUAUUAUUAAGACAUCAUGUAUGUGAAGUUA
Aegilops tauschii subsp. strangulata is the source of this 1479-nucleotide non-coding RNA. NCBI's taxonomy places the organism in Eukaryota, Viridiplantae, Streptophyta, Magnoliopsida, Poales, Poaceae. The record is from RefSeq and is a predicted model, not a curated record.